This 700-nucleotide ribosomal RNA is filed under the name uncultured Alphaproteobacteria bacterium. Its description in RNAcentral is "bacterial SSU rRNA". It matches the Rfam family "Bacterial small subunit ribosomal RNA", at positions 75 to 815 of the family's 1533-position model. The record is from RNAcentral. Lineage: Bacteria; Pseudomonadati; Pseudomonadota; Alphaproteobacteria.
UCGAAGAAGUGGCAUACUUAGUGGCAGACGGGUGAGUAACAUGUGGGUAUCUUCCCUUUGGCCUGGAAUAACACGAGGAAACUUGUGCUAAUACCGGAUAAGUCUUUACGGAGAAAGCUUUAUGCACCAUUGGAUGAGCCUGCACUUGAUUAGUUUGUUGGUGGGGUAAUGGCCUACCAAGACUGUGAUCAAUAGCUGAUUUGAGAGGAUGAUCAGCCACAUUGGGACUGAGACACGGCCCAAACCCCUACGGGAGGCAGCAGUGGGGAAUCUUGCACAAUGGAGGAAACUCUGAUGCAGCGAUGCCGCGUGAGUGAAGAAGGCCCUUGGGUUGUAAAGCUCUUUCGUCGGGGAAGAAAAUGACUGUACCCGAAUAAGAAGGUCCGGCUAACUUCGUGCCAGCAGCCGCGGUAAUACGAAGGGACCUAGCGUAGUUCGGAAUUACUGGGCUUAAAGAGUUCGUAGGUGGUUGAAAAAGUUAGUGGUGAAAUCCCAGAGCUUAACUCUGGAACUGCCAUUAAAACUUUUCAGCUAGAGUAUGAUAGAGGAAAGCAGAAUUUCUAGUGUAGAGGUGAAAUUCGUAGAUAUUAGAAAGAAUACCAAUUGCGAAGGCAGCUUUCUGGAUCAUUACUGACACUGAGGCACGACACAUGGGUAGCGAAGAGGAUAGAUACCUCGUAGUCAUCCGCAACGAGUUGUC